AUUCAUCCUUACUACUGAGAUUAAGUAUUGAUUCUAGAUCUGAGGAGUUUGUAUUGUUGAGAUGAUUCGCUGAUUGUGGAUUUAUCAUUUCUCGUUUGUAAUUGGCCAUGAAUGCGUGAGAAAGGUGGUUGAUGGGAAGAUCAAUCGCGCUAAUUCGAAUUGUUCAUUUCAUUUGGGGAGUAUUUGGGGGUUUAGGGAAUGUGAUAAUUUUAGGGAUUUGAGAUCAAUUUUGGUACUGAAACGAAGAUCUUGCGCUUUGUGGAGUUCUGUGACCUAUGAGUUAUCAGAAAAUCAAUUAAUUUAGAAUUUAAACUUGUUCUUGUGUCUAUGGUUUUCGUUUAUCAUCAAUGGUUAGCCUCUGAGAAUCGCUAUGAAUUUGAAUCAUAGAUCACCUGCCCUGAGGAAACUCAGUUUAGUUUCUCACUGUUUUAGUGGCUUCUCUGAGAAUCGCUAUGAAUUUGAAUUUUAGAUCACCUGCCCUGAGGAAACCAAGAUUAGUUUCUCACUGUUUUAGUGGCUUAAUCAAUGUUUUAGUGGCUUAAUCAAUAGCUGG
RNAcentral lists this long non-coding RNA (553 nucleotides) under Brassica rapa (field mustard). Its description in RNAcentral is "long non-coding RNA (BRAP_LNC003939)". The record is from RNAcentral. Lineage: Eukaryota; Viridiplantae; Streptophyta; Magnoliopsida; Brassicales; Brassicaceae.